CUCAAACAUAACGAUAAUACUAUUAGGCAUCUAACAUUUAAUUGUUCCUGCAAUUUAUUGUUCUUAUGAAACUAAAAGGAAAUAAAUAAAAUUGAGGUAUUUUGGUGAAUCCUUUAAGCUAUCUAACAUGAUAGCUUCUUCAAUGUCAUAUGCUACAGCACAGCAAACGCCUGUUAUUGCAACUUUAACAAGAGUUUUCAAUGAGACAUCCGAUGCAUUGGGAGGAUCAGGAGUUAGUCCAGCAAAGAAGAGGGAAAUUGAGGACAACUUGGUGCCUUGUUUGCGAAACUCAAUAGUGGAGACAUUUCUAAAAAUGCUGCUGAAAGGCUUGUACAACUCUGUCAGGCUUUGGACAAUGGUGAUUUUAGUAUUGCCCUUCAGAUCCAGGUACCUGCAAAACCUUCGAUAACAUUUUUUUUUCACGUCCAUAGUUGAUUGCAUCUGUUAAUUAUGGUAUAGGCUUAGUAUUAGCGAUUGGGAUGAAUGCAACUUAUGGCUCACAACUCUUAAACAAAUGAUCAAGACAAGGCAGUGAUAUGAUCCAGGAGUCGAGCCCGACGAAGGCAAGUGAGAGACGAGACCCGU
Molecule: long non-coding RNA, 585 nt
Filed under: Olea europaea subsp. europaea
Lineage: Eukaryota; Viridiplantae; Streptophyta; Magnoliopsida; Lamiales; Oleaceae
Source: RNAcentral